This 252-nucleotide ribosomal RNA is filed under the name uncultured bacterium. Its description in RNAcentral is "partial 16S ribosomal RNA". It matches the Rfam family "Bacterial small subunit ribosomal RNA", at positions 524 to 776 of the family's 1533-position model. The record is from RNAcentral.
UACGGAGGAUGCGAGCGUUAUCCGGAUUUAUUGGGUUUAAAGGGUGCGUAGGCGGAGCGUUAAGUCAGCGGUAAAAUCGAGGGGCUCAACCCCUUCCGGCCGUUGAAACUUCCGCACUAGAGUGGGCGAGAAGUGUGCGGAAUGCGUGGUGUAGCGGUGAAAUGCAUAGAUAUCACGCAGAACUCCGAUUGCGAAGGCAGCACACCGGCGCCCUACUGACGCUGAAGCUCGAAAGUGCGGGUAUCGAACAGG